AUGAACGCUGGCGGCGUGCCUAAUACAUGCAAGUCGAGCGCACAGACGAGGAGCUUGCUCCUCUGACGUUAGCGGCGGACGGGUGAGUAACACGUGGAUAACCUACCUAUAAGACUGGGAUAACUUCGGGAAACCGGAGCUAAUACCGGAUAAUAUAUUGAACCGCAUGGUUCAAUAGUGAAAGACGGUUUUGCUGCCACUUAUAGAUGGAUCCGCGCCGCAUUAGCUAGUUGGUAAGGUAACGGCUUACCAAGGCAACGAUGCGUAGCCGACCUGAGAGGGUGAUCGGCCACACUGGAACUGAGACACGGUCCAGACUCCUACGGGAGGCAGCAGUAGGGAAUCUUCCGCAAUGGGCGAAAGCCUGACGGAGCAACGCCGCGUGAGUGAUGAAGGUCUUCGGAUCGUAAAACUCUGUUAUUAGGGAAGAACAAAUGUGUAAGUAACUAUGCACGUCUUGACGGUACCUAAUCAGAAAGCCACGGCUAACUACGU
RNAcentral lists this ribosomal RNA (495 nucleotides) under uncultured bacterium. RNAcentral describes it as "partial 16S ribosomal RNA". It matches the Rfam family "Bacterial small subunit ribosomal RNA", at positions 29 to 506 of the family's 1533-position model. The record is from RNAcentral.